Molecule: long non-coding RNA, 344 nt
Filed under: Gossypium raimondii (Peruvian cotton)
Lineage: Eukaryota; Viridiplantae; Streptophyta; Magnoliopsida; Malvales; Malvaceae
Description: long non-coding RNA (GRAI_LNC011171)
Source: RNAcentral
GAGCACCAAGGUCCAACACGACCGGGAGAAAUUGGCCAUUUUUUUGAGUCUUUGCUUCAUUCCCGUUACACGAUAACGAGCAAAGAUGGGCAUUUGUAAUAGGCCCAAUUUGCCCGGCCCUUACAAAAACAAAUAAAAUCAAAAAAUAAAAAAUAAAUUAAAAGUCCAAAAGUCCAAAAAUACAGAAACAUUAGCCCAAUAAAAUCUAACCCAAAAUACAGUCCUAAACUCGGUUGUAACCCAAACCCAAUUAAGCCCAAACCUAAUCUGACCCAAUAUCACAAACCUGAUUACCUAAUUACAUUACCCAACACCAGGCCCAAAUUACAAACCCAUUACAGCCC